CCCUCUUCAGAUUGACCAGCCAAGCGCCAGC
RNAcentral lists this non-coding RNA (31 nucleotides) under Rattus norvegicus (Norway rat). Lineage: Eukaryota; Metazoa; Chordata; Mammalia; Rodentia; Muridae. The record is from RNAcentral.